This 77-nucleotide transfer RNA is filed under the name Candidatus Berkelbacteria bacterium RIFOXYA2_FULL_43_10. RNAcentral's name for it is "tRNA-Glu". It matches the Rfam family "tRNA". Rfam says of the family: Transfer RNA (tRNA) molecules are approximately 80 nucleotides in length. Lineage: Bacteria; Candidatus Berkelbacteria. The record is from RNAcentral.
GCCGCCAUCGUCUAGUGGCCUAGGAUAUCGGGUUUUCAUCCCGAAGAUCGCGGGUUCGACUCCCGCUGGCGGUACCA